Triticum dicoccoides is the source of this 3783-nucleotide RNA transcript. RefSeq lists it as uncharacterized. The record is from RefSeq and is a predicted model, not a curated record. Lineage: Eukaryota; Viridiplantae; Streptophyta; Magnoliopsida; Poales; Poaceae. The transcript is spliced from 8 exons.
AUGAACUUUAUUAUUUUCUCUGUAAAAUUCAUGAACAUUUCUUUUUCUGAAAAUUUUCUAUUUUCAUUUUCAGAACUUUUUUGUUUACUUUUCUAUUUUCUAAACAAAAGAUUUUCGUUGGAAAAAUAAUUUGGAUAAAAAAACUAUUUAUGAAAUCUGCCCAAAAAGAAAAUCUGGACAAAACUAUUAAAACAGAAAAGAAAACUGCAGCAGCAACCGGCCCGACUCGGCCUGGGCCGCCCUCGCCUGCGGCCUCAGCCCAGCUCGCGCGUGGGCUGUGCCCGCAGUUGUGCCCGCGCGGCCGCUCUCCCACUUUCGGCCCAUCGGCCCAGCGCGCCCCCUUAGAGCGCUAGGGUUUCAAUCCUGGCCGCCCGCGCAGAUCCGACGGCCAGGCGCGCGUUUCGCUUGAACAAAACGAGAGUCGAUCCCUAGCGACCGAAAACCUAGCGCCAUUCCUCCCCAGCCCCCGUGCCCCUCUCGCGCACUCCGCUGACGGCGGAGAGACGGGCUUCGCCCCGGCCGCCGGCGACGACGGCGGAUGCCACCGCGCCGCGCGGGCCUCUCCUUCCCAUCCUUUCUUCCCUCAUCACCCUCUUCUUCGUGUGAUAGAGAGAGAGAGAGCGACGCGGCGGGGCCUCUUCUGCUCCCCUGUAGCCGGGUUGGGGCUCCGCCGGCAACGGCGUGCAGCCACCGCAACGCGCGAGAGCCACCUUCCCUUUUCCCCUUCCGUUCCAUGAGGGAGAGGAAGACAGAGAGGCUACACCUUUUUUCUUUUCAGCGAGAGGAAGAGCGCGGCCAGAUCGCGCCGUGGCUAUCCUCCUCGUCGGUCGCGCGUCCUCCCUCGCGGUGAGCGCGCCGCCGCCGAGGGAUUUGGCCGCGGUGCUAACCUCCUUCUUUUUUUUGUGUGUGUCUUUUUCCUUUCUUUUCCGCGAGCAAUUGCUAGCUCCGGUGGUUCUUCGUCCCCGCACCUCGGCUUGCCGAUGCGUGUGGGGAUCGAGAGGAACAGGCGCGGCCGUGCGGCGGCGCUCUUUGCCGGUGAGGCCCAAGGCCAAAAUCCGGUGGUUUACUUUGCCCUGUCUAGGGUUCUUGGGGGAGGGGAUCUCUUUUUCUUUUUCUGUUUUUGUUUCUUUGUACCGAAAUCAUCUAGCCAGUGGCAUCUGAUACCAUUGAUAGAUCUCUUUGGAUCGUGUAGACUAGAUCUUUCCGGUAACCUACCUUCUCCUGGUGCGGACGAACUCGAUCCAGCACCGGCCAUGGUGAUGGCGGAGUGUGGGCGAGGUGGUGGCGGCGGAGCUUCCCGUCGGCCUAGCGCAAAACCCUAGAUCGGAUUGGUGUUUCGGUGGUGUUGUGGUGCACGGUCAACCUCGUCAUACGUGCCCCCGCACCCCACCUCUUUAUAUUGCGCUGGCGGCAGGGGCCCACCAACCAUGGAUUGGUUGGGCGCCCCCGAUCAGGGCGCGAGUCAGGGGCCCGUUCAACCCGUUGGGUUCGAACGGGAUAGAGAUCAACCUAACAAUGGUGAGUUUGUUCUUCUCAGCAAAGGAAUGCUGCUCUCGUAUCAUUCGGCUUGCUUCAAGUCGUGUCCUUCAAGUCGUGCCUUGUUUCUAGCAGGAGGCCCCAUAUGCCCGCUGUGCCAGAGACAUCUGGCAAGGCUGAAACCAGUCAUUUUUCCUUGUCCACACAGUCAUAAUAAUCCUGGAAGAUUUGUUGGCUUUAUGAGGCGAUGAGAAAACGUGGGAGGUGAUCAUCACCCCUGCUUUUCAAUCAUAUGGACCGAUGCUUGCUUGCUUCCUAUACAUAACUCUGGUAAGGACAUUUUUACUCCUGCUGUACCAUAUCUGAUAAGACACAGUGUGUGCUGAUUGGCCCUGAUCUUUCACUACACAUGCACUACUAACAGCAUUAUUUGGGGGGUUUUGGUGGAGAAGCGGGUGAACCAGGAGAAGUUGAUUAAUCCAGCAACCAGAAAUUAUGUAGAAGAUAUAAUUUGGUGGAAGCAAAGUAGAUGCAAGAGGGGAAGCAGAAAAUAAGAUCGGGAUUCAGUCCUUGCUAGAUGCAAGAACAGAAUUAAAGUCACGUCUAAUCUAUAAAUAUCAAUCAAACGAAAUGGCAAAGUUCAAAUCCAACCUCGGGCACGCAGAAGCACAGAUUUGGUGCAUCAACAAGGCGUUCGUUCAAUCUUAUAAGCUUCAUCAUAUUUUGCAUUUAACUUUGGGUUAUUGUCAUUCAUCAAGACAUGAUAGUCUACUUCCCUAUUUCUGGUGUGAUGAUCAAAAUAUCACUAUGGAAUAAAUGAGACUUUGGGGUCAAGCUACUGAUAUUAAGGUUUUCUAGUGUUUGUUCGUUUGCUUUCCAAAAGUCAUGAAGAAGUUCAGCUUUAGGGAUUAUCUUAUGGAAAACAGUGAACUGUCAGUGUUUUGCUACUGAUAAGGUUUGCAGUUUUUAAAUCAAGUCUACAUUCUACUGAUACCUAUCAGGUCUACUUGCAACAGAUAAGGAUCUUCGCAGGAAUAGCACUGCACCCCUGGAGACAAUUCAGAUAAUAGGGAGCAGUAGCAGUCUGAAGAACUCAUGAAGACUUGAUGGCAAUCUGGAAAGUUCAGUUUUGAUGUUUAAAAGGUCAUCAUGUUCAGACUUGAUAGUGUUUAGCCUAAAAAAAAGACUUGAUAGUGUUCUGCCACCGACAAGGUAUGCAUUUCUACUGAUACCAGUGCAGGGCGUGUGCAAUUCUGAAAUUUCGUAACUCCAUCAAGUCAUCAAGAUGCAUGAUUACAACUCCAGGACAAUGUCUUUUAAGACUUCAGAAGAUCUCUUCUUUCCAAGGACUAAAUGUCACCAACAGACUGGCAGAGCUGCAUGUCAGACAUGCGCUGUUGGUGUCUACUCUGAGUCUAACCAAAUUCGGCACUGAGAAGGUAAGAAGAAGAUUAUGGCAAGCAAGGACUGCUAUCUGCACACCUACUUGAGGACUCCAGCAAUUGGUGUACACAAAACAGUGCAGAACGUUUGUUCAUGCGAGAAUCGGCUGCCAAGAAGGGUGAUGAAUUAAAUUGGAACAAGUCUGCAGAGUAACCGAAGCCAUGCUAAGGAAGAAGAAGAAGCAGAAACACUACCUAGUCCAGAAGAAGCGUAGCCUGCAGCUUGGUACUCCCUCCGUCCGAAAAUACUUGUCAUCAAAAUGAAUAGAAAGGGAUGUAUCUAAACCUAAAAUACAUCUAGAUACAUCCCCUUUUGUUCAUUUUGAUGACAAGUAUUUCCGGACGGAGGGAGUAUAUCUGAAGCCUGUCAGCCUUGUGAUGUGAAUAAUUAAUAAAGUGGCUGCAUGCAUCGCCCAGAUGCAGAGGCCAGAGGUCUUCCUCCAAGGACCAGCAUGGCAGUAUUGCCAAGUUCAGUGAUCACAUACGGUGUGAUGUAUGGCAGGGAAGCUUUGUCUAUGCGGAAAUGUGGAUGAGACGCUGCGGUGGCUCUGGUUUGCUCUGUUUUUUUUUUGGGAGUAGUAUCUGCUCUGCUCUACUCUGGUGGGACACCUAUCUGGAGAUCCACAAGCUUUACGAGCGCACGAGAUGGCAAAAUCUACACAGCUCAAACAAAUAAUGGUGUGGUUGCUACCUGCUAUGGAGUACCAUUUGUUUGAUACAGCGGCCCGCCUGUGUGCGCCUUUAGCGUAUUAGAAAAAGAAGAUAUCGAUGUACUUAUGAAAAAUGGUUUGAUUAGGAUGGUUUACCUAUUUUUCAAUGUCGUGAACAAUAUUUUCGAAUUUGGUGAUUUUUUUGGAAUUUCAAA